GCCGAGCCAGGUAGCGUUGGCUUGUAACCCAAGCGGGGGCACGUGAGGUUUGGGAUGGUCAAAGGAACCACAGAUGGGUUGGUUGCGAUCGUGUAGAAGCCUGGCCUGCCCAUUCCAAGUCAGGUAGCUGAGCCAUGCGGCCUGGGCGAAGGCCCAAGCCCCAUGAUUCUUAGAGCAGAGGGCACCGCGUCAGGCUGGCUUCACAGAGCAGCGAUGACCACUCGCUCUUGACGGUGGGAGGAUAACAAGUCGGCGCACAUCGCAUAAUAUAAAUUAUUGUUAAACUUUUAAUAUAAGAAUUUUA
This 304-nucleotide signal recognition particle RNA is filed under the name Musa acuminata subsp. malaccensis (wild Malaysian banana). RNAcentral's name for it is "Plant signal recognition particle RNA". It matches the Rfam family "Plant signal recognition particle RNA". The record is from Rfam by way of RNAcentral. Lineage: Eukaryota; Viridiplantae; Streptophyta; Magnoliopsida; Zingiberales; Musaceae.